Molecule: small RNA, 67 nt
Filed under: Metabacillus litoralis
Lineage: Bacteria; Bacillati; Bacillota; Bacilli; Caryophanales; Bacillaceae
Description: Bacillus litoralis Bacillaceae-1 RNA
Rfam family: Bacillaceae-1 RNA
Source: Rfam by way of RNAcentral
UAUAAAGGAACUUCUACUAAAAACCGCCACGUCCUGUGGCAACGUAGAAGUCAGCACAUCCUGUGCA